RNAcentral lists this ribosomal RNA (253 nucleotides) under uncultured bacterium. RNAcentral describes it as "partial 16S ribosomal RNA". It matches the Rfam family "Bacterial small subunit ribosomal RNA", at positions 524 to 776 of the family's 1533-position model. The record is from RNAcentral.
UACGAAGGGUGCAAGCGUUACUCGGAAUUACUGGGCGUAAAGCGUGCGUAGGUGGUGCGUUAAGUCUGUCGUGAAAGCCCCGGGCUCAACCUGGGAAUGGCGAUGGAUACUGGCGCGCUAGAGUGCGGUAGAGGAGAGUGGAAUUCCCGGUGUAGCAGUGAAAUGCGUAGAGAUCGGGAGGAACAUCAGUUGCGAAGGCGACUUACUGGACGACUGUUGACGCUGAGGUGCGAAAGCGUGGGGAGCAAACAGG